RNAcentral lists this ribosomal RNA (479 nucleotides) under uncultured bacterium. RNAcentral describes it as "partial 16S ribosomal RNA". It matches the Rfam family "Bacterial small subunit ribosomal RNA", at positions 28 to 507 of the family's 1533-position model. The record is from RNAcentral.
GACGAACGCUGGCGGCGUGCUUAACACAUGCAAGUCGAACGAAGCUUGAUUACGGAUUCUUCGGAUGAAGUAUGAUAUGACUGAGUGGCGGACGGGUGAGUAACGCGUGAGUAACCUGCCCUUCAGAGGGGGAUAGCGUUUGGAAACGAACGGUAAUACCGCAUAAUGUAUUUUGACCGCAUGAUCGAAAUACCAAAGAUUUAUCGCUGAAGGAUGGACUCGCGUCUGAUUAGGUAGUUGGUGGGGUAACGGCCUACCAAGCCGACGAUCAGUAGCCGGACUGUGAGGUUGAUCGGCCACAUUGGGACUGAGACACGGCCCAGACUCCUACGGGAGGCAGCAGUAGGGUAGAUUGCACAAUGGGCGCAAGCCUGAUGCAGCAACGCCGCGUGAAGGAAGACGGUUUUCGGAUUGUAAACUUCUGUUCUUAGGGAAGAAUAAUGACGGUAGCUAAGGAGCAAGCCACGGCUAACUACGUG